AUGAUCGUGUCGGAAUUUCUCGAGUAGCCUCAUCGAAUCAGGACCUCUAUCUCAUCCCUGAGCUGGAUGCACUGUUCGAUAUCGUGACCAUGAUCACGAUGCAACCAACAGUACUUCUUCCAGUCACAACUCCUCGAUGACGCUUUCAUUGGUGGGGGUGUCGUAGAUACUCCUUUGCUUUGAUCUCCAUCAAGAUCUACGCACAGAGAGCAGAAAGAGGAGUAUAGGAGUCAUACCUGCCAUAGC
RNAcentral lists this long non-coding RNA (246 nucleotides) under Elaeis guineensis (African oil palm). RNAcentral's name for it is "long non-coding RNA (EGUI_LNC030952)". Lineage: Eukaryota; Viridiplantae; Streptophyta; Magnoliopsida; Arecales; Arecaceae. The record is from RNAcentral.